AUCAAAUCCUGUUACAACUAAAUAUUGAGCUCUUCUAGAUUCACCUAACAAUACAACAGCUUCAUUUUUGUCAGGUAUUACUAGUUGUUGCUGCCUCCACAUAAUUUCAGUCUGUGGUAUCUUUUGUUAUUGUGGGUGGGAAUAGAGGAUUAUUUGUUGCUAGACAUAGAGUUCUUGGCUUCUCACUUGGGUUUUUUCAAAUUGGGAGCAGUGGUUGGUUGAGGCUGGGGGCAUCUUCCUAUGUUUAUGAAAUAUAAUUAGAACUAUUCUUAGAGCUGUAGGUUAUCAGUGCCCCAGCGAAACAGUGAAGUAGCCUUUCAGUGCAAAAGUGCUAUUUCAUUAGUGCAAUGAUGCACUAUGAUGCUGUAACUAUAAAAAAAUGAAGGAAAAGUAGAGAGAGAAAAUUAGGAAGAAAUAGCCAUUUCCAACUCUAUUAUCCAUUUUGAAACCAUCUGGCAUGAAAAUUCUGUGGUUUAUAUCACAAUCCACAUUACUGGGGAAGCAUCCAAAAACUCAGUAUGAACGACAGAAAUAUGUACACACUAGGCUUGAUCGAUCCACGAAAAAUUUGAUUCUAAACUCGUUUCAAAACUAGAGGGGGGCAGCUUUUCAUUUCUGAUGGUAUUUCCGAAUUUGGCCCCCCAAAAAAUUCGAAAUUAACGAAAAUUCGUUAUUUUCUAAAUUAAUUCGUUAAUGGCGGACGCGCAUGCGCAAUUCCCAAAAACAGCACAGAGGGAGAGGACUUUACAGGACUCUCCCACCCUCAUUUUUUGAGUGAUCUUCUUCCAACUUGGUACAGUGGUAGAACACAUUUAACACUGAUAGCUCACCAAAAUUUGGAACGUUUCCCUUAUCCUCUGAUUUUUGGCGAAUUUUCAUAGCUUUUAUAAUAAACCAUUUUUUAAUAAUUGCAGAAAUCUGUUCCUGGUUUGAAAGUCUUAUUUCCUGUUAAAUUGGGUUGUCUUUACUGUGAAAGUCAUUGUUCUACUUCAGAAACUUUGUUUUUGUGGCUGAAACUUUGUUAAAUUGGUGUGUGUGUGAUAUAUACUGUGUAUAUAGUCCCUGCAUAAUGUGUGUGUGUGUGUGUGUGUGUGUGUGUGUGUGUGUGUAUAUAGGUAAAGGUAAAGGUAUCCCUUGACGUUAAGUUCAGUCAUGUCUGACUCUGGGGGUUGGUGCUCAUCUCCAUUUCUAAGCCCAAGAGCCAGUGUUGUCCAUAGACACCUCCAAGGU
Molecule: long non-coding RNA, 1230 nt
Filed under: Anolis carolinensis (green anole)
Lineage: Eukaryota; Metazoa; Chordata; Lepidosauria; Squamata; Anolidae
Description: lncRNA (ENSACAG00000036495.1)
Source: RNAcentral